GCGGGGAAUAUUGGGCAAUGGGCGAAAGCCUGACCCAGCAACGCCGCGUGAAGGAAGAAGGUUUUCGGAUCGUAAACUUCUAUCCUUGGUGAAGAUAAUGACGGUAGCCAAGAAGGAAGCCCCGGCUAACUACGUGCCAGCAGCCGCGGUAAUACGUAGGGGGCAAGCGUUGUCCGGAAUGAUUGGGCGUAAAGGGCGCGUAGGCGGCCCGGUAAGUCUGAAGUGAAAGUCCUGCUUUUAAGGUGGGAAUUGCUUUGGAUACUGUCGGGCUUGAGUGCAGGAGAGGUAAGCGGAAUUCCCGGUGUAGCGGUGAAAUGCGUAGAGAUCGGGAGGAACACCAGUGGCGAAGGCGGCUUACUGGACUGUAACUGACGCUGAGGCGCGAAAGUGUGGGGAGCAAACAGGAUUAGAUACCCUAGUAGUCC
This 425-nucleotide ribosomal RNA is filed under the name uncultured bacterium. RNAcentral's name for it is "partial 16S ribosomal RNA". It matches the Rfam family "Bacterial small subunit ribosomal RNA", at positions 354 to 796 of the family's 1533-position model. The record is from RNAcentral.